Molecule: ribosomal RNA, 497 nt
Filed under: uncultured bacterium
Lineage: Bacteria
Description: partial 16S ribosomal RNA
Rfam family: Bacterial small subunit ribosomal RNA
Source: RNAcentral
GAUGAACGCUGGCGGCGUGCCUAAUACAUGCAAGUCGAGCGAACAGACGAGGAGCUUGCUCCUCUGACGUUAGCGGCGGACGGGUGAGUAACACGUGGAUAACCUACCUAUAAGACUGGGAUAACUUCGGGAAACCGGAGCUAAUACCGGAUAACAUGUUGAACCGCAUGGUUCAACAGUGAAAGACGGUCUUGCUGUCACUUAUAGAUGGAUCCGCGCCGCAUUAGCUAGUCGGUAAGGUAACGGCUUACCAAGGCAACGAUGCGCAGCCGACCUGAGAGGGUGAUCGGCCACACUGGAACUGAGACACGGUCCAGACUCCUACGGGAGGCAGCAGUAGGGAAUCUUCCGCAAUGGGCGAAAGCCUGACGGAGCAACGCCGCGUGAGUGAAGAAGGUCUUCGGAUCGUAAAACUCUGUUAUUAGGGAAGAACAAAUGUGUAAGUAACUAUGCACGUCUUGACGGUACCUAAUCAGAAAGCCACGGCUAACUACGUG